Molecule: long non-coding RNA, 231 nt
Filed under: Setaria italica (foxtail millet)
Lineage: Eukaryota; Viridiplantae; Streptophyta; Magnoliopsida; Poales; Poaceae
Description: long non-coding RNA (SITA_LNC005228)
Source: RNAcentral
GGGCCCCCGUUGGGUUCAGGGCGGGUGCACCGUUUGCUACUUCGGUGCCAGGGCGGGUUUGUGGCUCAGGUUUCGAGGGUGGAUCCGUGGAAGCUCCACCCAACCCUAACCCGUCCUGUUGCCAUCCCUACUCCGCCCAUCGGUGGUUCUCCACCGCCCAGCCGGUGGCGCCACUGCCACGCCGGUGGCGCCACUGCCACCUUACCUCGUUCAUUGCCUCCACCAUCGAGC